GGACGAACGCUGGCGGCGCGCUUAACACAUGCAAGUCGAGCGAGAACCGGUCCUUCGGGACCGGGGAAAGCGGCGAACGGGUGAGUAACACGUGAGUAAUCUGCCCUCGGCACCGGGAUAGCCCGCGGAAACGCGGAUUAAUACCGGAUGGCCCAGCAGCUCUUCGGGGCGGCUGGAAAAGGUAGCUUCGGCCUCUGGCCGAGGAGGAGCUCGCGGCGGAUUAGCUUGUUGGUGGGGUAAUGGCCUACCAAGGCGACGAUCCGUAGCUGGUCUGAGAGGACGAUCAGCCACACUGGGACUGAGACACGGCCCAGACUCCUACGGGAGGCAGCAGUGGGGAAUCUUGCGCAAUGGGCGAAAGCCUGACGCAGCGACGCCGCGUGCGGGAAGAGGGCCUUCGGGUUGUAAACCGCUUUCAGGAGGGACGAAGCUACUCGGGUUAAUAGCCCAGAGGGUGACGGUACCUCCAGAAGAAGCCCCGGCUAACUACGUGCCAGCAGCCGCGGUAAUACGUAGGGGGCAAGCGUUGUCCGGAUUUAUUGGGCGUAAAGAGCGUGUAGGCGGCUUGGCAAGUCCGCUGUGAAAACUCGAGGCUCAACCUCGAGACGUCGGUGGAAACUGCCUCGCUAGAGUCCGGAAGAGGAGAGUGGAAUUCCUGGUGUAGCGGUGAAAUGCGCAGAUAUCAGGAAGAACACCCGUGGCUAAGGCGGCUCUCUAGUACGGUACUGACGCUGAGACGCGAAAGCGUGGGGAGCGAACAGGAUUAGAUACCCUGGUAGUCCACGCCGUAAACGAUGGGUGCUAGGUGUGGGGGGUGUCAACUCCCUCCGUGCCGAAGCUAACGCAUUAAGCACCCCGCCUGGGGAGUACGGCCGCAGGCUAAAACUCAAAU
This 892-nucleotide ribosomal RNA is filed under the name uncultured bacterium. RNAcentral describes it as "bacterial SSU rRNA". It matches the Rfam family "Bacterial small subunit ribosomal RNA", at positions 27 to 906 of the family's 1533-position model. The record is from RNAcentral.